AUUGAACGCUGGCGGCAUGCCUUACACAUGCAAGUCGAACGGCAGCACGGGUGCUUGCACCUGGUGGCGAGUGGCGAACGGGUGAGUAAUACAUCGGAACGUACCUUAUCGUGGGGAUAACGCAGCGAAAGGUGUGCUAAUACCGCAUACGCCCUGAGGUGGAAAGCGGGGGAUCGAAAGACCUCGCGCGAUUAGAGCGGCCGAUGCCUGAUUAGCUUGUUGGUGGUGUAAAAGCCCACCAAGGCGACGAUCAGUAGCUGGUCUGAGAGGACGAUCAGCCACACUGGGACUGAGACACGGCCCAGACUCCUACGGGAGGAAGCAGUGGGUAAUUUUGGACGAUGGGAGCAACCCUGAUCCAGCAAUGCCGCGUGAGUGAAGAAGGCCUUCGGGUUGUAGAGCUCUUUUGUCAGGGAAGAAACACCGGCUCUAACACAGUCCGGGAAUGACGGUACCUGAAGAAUAAGCACCGGCUAACUACGUGCCAGCCGCCGCGGUAA
This 500-nucleotide ribosomal RNA is filed under the name uncultured bacterium. Its description in RNAcentral is "partial 16S ribosomal RNA". It matches the Rfam family "Bacterial small subunit ribosomal RNA", at positions 30 to 523 of the family's 1533-position model. The record is from RNAcentral.